GACGAACGCUGGCGGCGUGCUUAACACAUGCAAGUCGAACGGAAAGGCCCUGCUUUUGUGGGGUGCUCGAGUGGCGAACGGGUGAGUAACACGUGAGUAACCUGCCCUUGACUUUGGGAUAACUUCAGGAAACUGGGGCUAAUACCGGAUAGGAGCUCCUGCUGCAUGGUGGGGGUUGGAAAGUUUCGGCGGUUGGGGAUGGACUCGCGGCUUAUCAGCUUGUUGGUGGGGUAGUGGCUUACCAAGGCUUUGACGGGUAGCCGGCCUGAGAGGGUGACCGGCGACAUUGGGACUGAGAUACGGCCCAGCCGCCUACGGGAGGCAGCGGUGGAGAGUAUUGCACAAUGGGCGGAAGCCUGAUGCGGCAACGCCGCGUGCGGGAUGACGGCCUUCGGGUUGUAAACCGCUUUCGCCUGUGACGAAGCGUGAGUGACGGUAAUGGGUAAAGAAGCACCGGCUAACUACGUG
Molecule: ribosomal RNA, 468 nt
Filed under: uncultured bacterium
Lineage: Bacteria
Description: partial 16S ribosomal RNA
Rfam family: Bacterial small subunit ribosomal RNA
Source: RNAcentral